AGAUCGAACUAAAGAGUUUGAUCCUGGCUCAGAUUGAACGCUGGCGGAAUGCUUUACACAUGCAAGUCGAACGGCAGCAUAGGAGCUUGCUCCUGAUGGCGAGUGGCGAACGGGUGAGUAAUGCAUCGGAACGUGCCCAGUCGUGGGGGAUAACGCAGCGAAAGCUGCGCUAAUACCGCAUAAGAUCUCUGGAUGAAAGCGGGGGACCGUAAGGCCUCGCGCGAUUGGAGCGGCCGAUGUCAGAUUAGGUAGUUGGUGAGGUAAAGGCUCACCAAGCCAACGAUCUGUAGCUGGUUUGAGAGGACGACCAGCCACACUGGGACUGAGACACGGCCCAGACUCCUACGGGAGGCAGCAGUGGGGAAUUUUGGACAAUGGGCGAAAGCCUGAUCCAGCCAUUCCGCGUGCAGGACGAAGGCCUUCGGGUUGUAAACUGCUUUUGUACGGAACGAAAAUGCCUUUGUUAAUACCAAGGGUAAAUGACGGUACCGUAAGAAUAAGCACCGGCUAACUACGUGCCAGCAGCCGCGGUAAUACGUAGGGUGCAA
RNAcentral lists this ribosomal RNA (548 nucleotides) under Betaproteobacteria bacterium. RNAcentral describes it as "bacterial SSU rRNA". It matches the Rfam family "Bacterial small subunit ribosomal RNA", at positions 1 to 537 of the family's 1533-position model. The record is from RNAcentral. Lineage: Bacteria; Pseudomonadati; Pseudomonadota; Betaproteobacteria.